UUACAUUUCAUUCUAGGAACCACUGCGCGCCACUGAAAUUUUAUCGAAGUCUAAUUUAACUUACAUAAUGAGUUGAAUUGAGUACUUGUUAUCAAAUUUGAGCAAUUCAUAGCCCCGUAAUGUGGAAUGAUCAAAUAAAUUAAAAGGGAAUUUAUUCAAUAUUUUGUUGCGAUCCUUUUUUUCGAAACCAUUGCUAUUUUGUAGGGAAUUUCCUUCUGCUCCGGCUGCCCGAGGUGGGUGACAUGUGUCAUAAAAACCCCAGCAGCAGCCGGAGAAGCAGCAGCAGCCAAGUGUCCUGAGAGCUGACAGAAGAUAAAGGGCAACAUUUCCAGUUAUAGCUUCUUCCCCCGCACCAUCACUCUUCCUGCAGAUGGAGGGAGAGGGAUCGUAAAAUGCACGCUCUUACUUUGAAAAAUACCUUUGGAUCCUACAUCUUUUUUUUUUUUUUUUUUUUUUUUUUUUUUUUUUUUUUUUGAUAAUGCUUCCGGGUGACAGAGGAGCAGAAGGGUGAGCAUGUCGCGGGCCCGGCUGGUGCCACCGGGAGCCACUCGCCGGGGCGAGCUCGGGGCCAUCCCCCGCAAGGCUGCGGCCCCCCGGGCACCGGGCUGUGCCCCCUCCCGCACCCAGCUCGGAGCGGGGAGCGGGCUGUGCCUUUCGGGGAGGCCUCCCCCGUUGCUUCCCCUCCCACUCGUGUGCACAGGAGCGGGCGUGGGCGCAGCGCUGCCCGCCCCGCCGCGGUGCCCGUGCGGGCACGGCGCUUUGUGUGCGGCCCGAGGCUCCGCAGCCGCUGCUGGCGCCUCGGGGAGGGGGGCUCCGGGUGAAAGGACGGUGUAAAAUGCAAACUAAUGCUAUGCAUUUGUACACAAUAACUGGGCAUAACAGAUAAUUAUUAAAUACAUACUUUGGGCUUGCGUAAGACGUUAUAUACAACCUAUAUUUAUAUCUAUACCCCUUGAGUUACCCUCCAAGAAGAAGGUCAGUUCCCUGGACAUGAACAUUUAUUUUUCUUUCUCACAGCAUACACACACACGCACACAUUUUUUAACUGCCUGUGGCCUCGUUGGCGGAUUAUAAAUGUCUCCUUCUCGCUGUGAUUUGUUUAAUCCGUGGAAAUGGUGCUGGUCCUAUGUAAACAAGCCAAGUGCGGAAUGAAGGCAGUCACCCAUGCGUGGCCAGCCUGCCUAUUUGUCAGAAAACCUUCAUAAAUACUGAGCCGGGGCUGGGCAAGGAUGUGAUGUCUCCAUUUUUGCCAGGAAAGGGCACGGGGAAGACAAAGCGAGGCAGAGCGCCGUGUAACCUUUCAGGGAGAGCGAGCGCGGAGCUCCCGCCCGCCGGGGCCGGGCCCGGGGCCGGGGCCGGUCGUGCCCGGCCGCCGCCCGCCCCCGGGACGGUGAACCGGCGCUCGGGAGGCAGUGCAAUAACACCCCUGUAGAACGCAAACGUCCAGCAUAUUCACGCGGGCAAAAUUACACACCAAGCCCAGGGCGCCGAGAGGUUGUCGUUCAGGUAGGUGGUGGGAGGCGGCUCGGGGAAUACGGCACAUUCUCUUAGCUACCGCAUGAAUACAGUUUGUGGUGUCCAUCAAGUCCUUCUCGUAAAGGUGGUUUGGUAAAUUAACAGAUUCGCUGUAUAAUCAGGCAUGCGGUACAGAGGCCAGUGAGCUCUCCCGUUUAACCAGGUCAGCGCCAAGUUAUUACUGGAGAAGGGGAAAAAAACCUACAGAAACGGCAACAACAGGGAAACAUCUAAUCUUUUUAAAGAAAUUAAAUAACAUGGCUCCAAUUUUCAAUGCAACAAGGCUUACGCUACGAAGAACAGAAGCGAACAGCUCUUCAGGGUUACUGGAUGCCCAGAAGAAUUAAUAACCUGAAGAGGAGGAAGAGAAAGGGGAGAAGUAAACCUGUCCUGGAGCAUCUCCACCUGUUUUGUGGGAGUGGCAGCUUGUGAGGCUGGGGGUGUGGUGUUGAAGCCCUGGAUAAACCCUUCCUCCCCAAGCAGAGCUCUCAAACAACUCCAUUGGAUGAGUCUCGUGUCCCCAUCUCUUUUUCCCACCUAACACAUAGAGACACAUGUAAAUGAAAAUAAGUGAUAUCUUUUUUUCUGUAUUCAAGUGAGAAGCCUGCCACGGCAGGGAUCUGCUUCCCCAAACACAGUACAUGGAUUGAGCACAUCAUCCUUACACCUCUCUUUCAGUAGUUACCUGUCCUUACUUAACAUUUGGUUUCAUGCUAGGCCUCAAGGAAAGAAGGACGAGAAAUUAUUCUCUGUAUACAGACCAAAUGUACGUUUUGUUUAAUGCUGGGUCAGGCAACCUACCACACUGCCUUGGAUUAUCCAGUUUUCUCUAGUCUGCUCUUCUUAGUAAACAGAAACCUGGAACAAUCAGGAUACAAAACUAAUUCAGACACUGCAAUCUGUAACCCCAAACACAGUUUAUCCAUGUGCUGUGUCUCCAUGCUCUGAAAAACACAGCAUGCAGAGUGAAUUUGUCCUUUUGUUUCUCAUGCAAAGAGAAAUGGAGCUGGACUGAUGCCAUAUAUCUCAGCCCGUGCACAGCUUCUCCUACUGGCAGGGAGUUCACACCAGGUACAAGGCCUGUCCUGAUGGCUGAAGGUUGGACAAGACUCCAGGGUGCUAGUAGUGUAAGAGACUUUGAGCAGAAAACACACAGAUUUAUGGCUAAAUGGGUGGACCAGGUCUGGACCUGGGACUUCCCAUGGGUUAUUUAGGUGAUGUCAGUCUUUUGUUUCUCCAACUUGAUGGUGUGUUCUCACACGCUGUGUCCUUUUUCCUCUGCUAUAGGAAUAAAAGGCUGUUGGAAACAUGAAUGGGAGUAAACAAAUGGCUAAUGCAUUAAUAGGGCAUGACAGACUAGAAAAAAGCUGAGAAAAGUUUCCAAACAAAUACUUAACAGGUAGCAAGUGAGGGUAUCAUAAGUAAAUACAAGACUAAAGUAGGCCUUGCAGUCUUCAUGGUUCUUUUUAUCUGCAAAUUUGUGCUAACAGGUAAAAUGGUUGGUUAGAUACUCAUCAUCAGCACUAUCAGCAUGGUUUUAUGUAAUCACAGGUGUCUUUUCAUCCUGUAAAACAAUUCCAGAAAUAAAAACAAGAUGCAAGAGGUCCUCUGAUAGCAUUACAUUGGAAAUGUUGGUUAAGAGGACAGUUCAUUCUC
Molecule: long non-coding RNA, 3171 nt
Organism: Prinia subflava (tawny-flanked prinia)
Lineage: Eukaryota; Metazoa; Chordata; Aves; Passeriformes; Cisticolidae
Exons: 5
Source: RefSeq, a predicted model, not a curated record